GUUUUCGUGGUGUAGUUGGUUAUCACGUACGCCUCACAGAAACAUGGAUCAAUCAGAAAUGGUUGGUGCAUACAAAUGUCGCGUAAGGUCUCCGGUUCGAACCCGGGCGAAAACA
Diaporthe sp. PMI_573 is the source of this 115-nucleotide non-coding RNA. NCBI's taxonomy places the organism in Eukaryota, Fungi, Ascomycota, Sordariomycetes, Diaporthales, Diaporthaceae. The record is from the annotation of a GenBank genome assembly.